UACGUAGGUGGCAAGCGUUGUCCGGAUUUACUGGGCGUAAAGAGCGCGCAGGCGGUCGUUCAAGUCGCGUGUGAAAGCCCCCGGCUCAACUGGGGAGGGUCACGCGAUACUGAUCGACUCGAAGGCAGGAGAGGGUAGUGGAAUUCCCGGUGUAGUGGUGAAAUGCGUAGAUAUCGGGAGGAACACCAGUGGCGAAGGCGGCUUCCUGGACCGGUUCUGACACUGAGGAGCGAAAGCGUGGGGAGCGAGCCGG
RNAcentral lists this ribosomal RNA (253 nucleotides) under uncultured bacterium. RNAcentral describes it as "partial 16S ribosomal RNA". It matches the Rfam family "Bacterial small subunit ribosomal RNA", at positions 524 to 776 of the family's 1533-position model. The record is from RNAcentral.